RNAcentral lists this long non-coding RNA (570 nucleotides) under Elaeis guineensis (African oil palm). RNAcentral's name for it is "long non-coding RNA (EGUI_LNC032419)". The record is from RNAcentral. Lineage: Eukaryota; Viridiplantae; Streptophyta; Magnoliopsida; Arecales; Arecaceae.
UUGCUAAAUUUCUCAAUCAUAAUUUUUAAAUUUAGUUCCAUAGUCACUUUGAAUACAUAAAAGUAAUAAGCUAUUUUUAUUAAAAACUUUUUGAUAAAAAUUUGAUAAUUAUCAAGGUCUACAUGCAUCACUUGGGUUGGCUCUUCCUUGAUACUAGACUUAUCAGGGAUCUCUAUAUAGGUCGAAUAUCGGUGCAUUCCGAGGUCACCAGUUUCGAUAGCAGAUCUGCUCAGACAUUCUCUGAUCUGGAUAUUUACAAAAUCUUGAAUUUAUUGAAAGAAGAGAUUAUUUCUUGUAUCUUUUGUAGAUACUUUUGCAUGAAAGAUGCUUUCACCUUGUACUCUCCUCGAACCUGGCCAACCACCAAAUGAAAGGCACUGAGUAGCUGAAGGUGUAGAACUUCGAGCUCUUGAGCGAGCCUCAGUCUAGCUAGGAGUGCUUCAUACUCUAUUUCAUUAUUUGAAUUCUUGAAGCUGAAACAAAGGGCUUGCUCUAUUAUAAUGCUGUCGGGACUGGUGAGAAUAACCUAACCUCAUCGCCUCUGAUAUUGGAUGAUCUAUCAACAUAUAA